UACGGGGGGGGCAAGCGUUGUUCGGAAUUACUGGGCGUAAAGGGCUCGUAGGCGGCCAACUAAGUCGGAUGUGAAAUCCCCAGGCUCAACCUGGGAACUGCAUCCGAUACUGGAUGGCUUGAAUUCGGGAGAGGGAUGCAGAAUUCCUGGUGUAGCGGUGAAAUGCGUAGAUAUCCGGAGGAACACCGGUGGCGAAGGCGGCUUCCUGGACCGAUUACUGACGCUGAGGCGCGAAAGCUAGGGGAGCAAACGGG
RNAcentral lists this ribosomal RNA (254 nucleotides) under uncultured bacterium. RNAcentral describes it as "partial 16S ribosomal RNA". It matches the Rfam family "Bacterial small subunit ribosomal RNA", at positions 524 to 776 of the family's 1533-position model. The record is from RNAcentral.